Molecule: transfer RNA, 69 nt
Filed under: Gymnopis multiplicata
Lineage: Eukaryota; Metazoa; Chordata; Amphibia; Gymnophiona; Dermophiidae
Description: tRNA-Met
Source: RNAcentral
AGUAAAGUCAGCUAAAUAAGCUUUUGGGCCCAUACCCCAAACAUGUAAGCCAAAUACUUACCUUUGCUA